UGAAACCUGAAGGUUCCAUAGCAGUUAGGCAGGAUCCUAGGAGCUGCAUGGUUUUUUUUUAACCUAGAAAAAUGGUUCUUACAGCUGAAUAAAACUUUCAGUAAACACUGUCUACUAAAGCAAGUUAAGUAACCCAGUAACAACCCAAGACAGCAAAAACCUGAAGCAGUGUGGCAGGAGAGAACACAGAAAGGCUGAGGAAAUAUUACUAGAGACUGAAAUAAGUUUUUCAAAGGCUAACCUUCUUCAGUAUCAGUGUGCAUAAGCAGGUUAUCGGCAAAAUAUGUAAUCCAGGUCUAACUUUCUACCUGAGAGUCUACGUUUUGUUGGACCAUUUGAAAAGAAACACUCAUAUUGCUCUUAUGUCCUUCUUCAGCAGCCUGAAGGAACCAACAGAGCUCUUUCUGAUUCCAUGACAAGCAACAGAAUUUGAAGGCUGAUAUAAUCCUCUAAACAGGAAAGCUACAAGAGAGGAUGACUAGGAUUCCAGGUGAGGAUGCUCAGAGAAAAAUUACGAGCCAAGAGGCAGCUCUCAGAUGAAGGAAAAAGAGGGGUCAUGAAUGUGGUAAAAGGGAAUCAUUUUCUGGUUACGGAGAUACACAGCCAGACAGCCAGGCAUUGUUCUAGUUUGUUUUUGGGACCAAGGAUGGAAAUCCAAGAAGUUGAAAGCCAGAAUGAAGCAUGAAUGUGAGGAACAAUAACCAAGCUGGGAAGAGGAGAGGCCUGAGCAAGGAGAAACAGAAGACUAACAGUGAAAUAUCAUUAUUCCAGUUGUUCCCAACAGAUAUAAAUAAAAAGUGAAGAAAAUGCACCAUUA
Mauremys reevesii (Reeves's turtle) is the source of this 817-nucleotide long non-coding RNA. RefSeq lists it as uncharacterized. The record is from RefSeq and is a predicted model, not a curated record. The transcript has 3 exons. NCBI's taxonomy places the organism in Eukaryota, Metazoa, Chordata, Testudines, Geoemydidae.